Long non-coding RNA from Alosa alosa (allis shad), 1822 nucleotides. RefSeq lists it as uncharacterized. Lineage: Eukaryota; Metazoa; Chordata; Actinopteri; Clupeiformes; Clupeidae. The transcript has 2 exons. The record is from RefSeq and is a predicted model, not a curated record.
ACGUGGAUCGAAAGUGGGUGGGAAUCUGCCACGAUUGACAUUUGUUCAAUGGCAGCUGUAGACGGCGCCGAUCGAGAGACUCGCGCGGCUUGAAUAAAAUUACCCGAGAGAGUCACCUGUUGAUUCUGUCCUGAUAUGGUCUUUUUUGGACCCCGAACUUUCAUGCAACAGGUGGCAGAUUGUUUCAGCCGGAAGACAGAAUGGCGAAAUGUCACACGUGCAAAGUCUCGCUGUUGGGCGUCUUUCAGCACUGAAGCAGUGAACAGCUCCCACAAGUCGUGUCGUUGGAAGGUCUGGGAGAUAUCGAACUGUAAAGAUGCAUCUAUCUAUCUAUCUAUCUAUCUAUCUAUAAGGUGAAGGCCUAUAUACAUAGGCUAUGCUUAAGAAAGAGGCUCUUCAGUCAUUAAGUUGACAGAGUAUUUUUGAUAGCUAUAUUCCCAUGCUCUUACAAGUUGAUAAACAAGGUUUUUCCAUAUAAAGGGCAACAUAGGUCAAAACUCAAGCUUACAAUGUAUUGGACAUCCCCUCAAACGUAGGUUUCCUUACCAUGGAACACUGUCUGUCCACAGACCCUUCCCCCAUCUUCCGUUUUUCUUGUUAAAUUGACACUCCCCCUCAGUCUGCUGCCUCAGCUCUGUUGCAUAGCUACCAGAUCUACCCUCAGAGCACUGACGAUAAACAACAAUGACUUGGGCUAUAUGUUUGUAUUUUAAUUGCUAGAGCUAAACCAGUUUAACUUAAUGACAUCAUGGCCAUUGUGGGCUUUAUCAUGGUUUAGGUUAUAUUUUGUUCUGCAGAAAGCAGAUGAAACUGAACAGAGACUUUCUCUAAAAUGUCAUGUUCUGUGAUUCCGCGAGUCAGUUUCAUGGUUGUGAAAGUAACAGAAAAUGAUCACCCCAAAGAGCUGGACUUUUUCCUCACACACACCAGUGGUUGAUUAUGAGAGUUCCCCUCCCCCUUUUCUGUCCCUCUUUGAAAAGGGCUUAUAUGAAUAAAGGGAAGAGAGGAUGUCUACUUAUUUAACAGGUGAAGCAGGAGCGGAAAUAAUUAUUAGAAAAAAGGAGAAUAAUGUGAUAUAAAAGAGUGAAGUGUCAGACAAUGGGAUAAAUGGAAAUGGAGUGUAUAAGUCUUGUGCCCUUCCGGUUCAUGGACUAUUUCCUCUUCAGAGGUGGUGGACUUUCACAGCCAGGAGGUUUGGGAAUUAUCAGCACUGAAUGGAUUGAUUGAGCUGUAGAAAAUCUCAGAUGACAGACAGACAGACACACACACACACACACACACACACACACACACACACACACACACACACUCACACACUAAGAUGAAGAGGACCUACACCUGCCAGAUUUACAGUUAUAGGCAUAGUUAAGACCCUGCAAGAGCCUCUUCAUUGUAUUUUUUUUUUUUCAUUCCUCCUGUAGGCUUAGAUUAAUGGGGACCUGGGUGAAGAAGCAUGGAGACAUUUUGCUCUGUGUGCUGGGUGGAAGACUAGUGAUUUUGUUGUGAAACUGAACAAAGACACUAACAACAAAGCCCAGUCUACCUCUCAGCACAGGGUACAGGCCUGCAGUGUCUUUUGUUAAAUCUUGAUAUUAUGAAAUUAUGUAGGCUACUCAUGCAAUGAGAUGAGGGGGUGAGUUGGCCCACUUGGUCAUCUUUUGCUGGAUGUAGGCUAAACAUUAUGAAAUAAAAUGAAUAGCCCUACCUGAUCCAUUUUAAAAUCAAGAUAUAUUAGGCUAUAACAAUAUCUACAAAGUUGUCUAUUAUCUGUGAUGCUGUUGUGUUUUAAAUGACUGAUCAAUAAAAAAAAACUGUAAACCUA